RNAcentral lists this transfer RNA (95 nucleotides) under Fidelibacterota bacterium. Its description in RNAcentral is "tRNA-Sec". It matches the Rfam family "Selenocysteine transfer RNA". The record is from RNAcentral. Lineage: Bacteria; Pseudomonadati; Fidelibacterota.
GGAAGCGAAUGUGUCCCCGGUGGGCACCUCAGCCUUCAAAGCUGGUGAAUGGCAGUAAUGUCAUUGGUGGGUUCGACUCCCACGCGUUUCCGCCA